RNA transcript from Pangasianodon hypophthalmus (striped catfish), 2332 nucleotides. It is a transcript of the gene named DEAD (Asp-Glu-Ala-Asp) box polypeptide 39B, with no coding region annotated. The transcript has 11 exons. Lineage: Eukaryota; Metazoa; Chordata; Actinopteri; Siluriformes; Pangasiidae. The record is from RefSeq and is a predicted model, not a curated record.
ACAGGACACCGUCGCUUUGGGGCCUUUGACACGUUUGUCGCACGCAAAUGCCGACAGUAAAGACGCGCGAGCAGGUGAAGCGAAAUUCACGAAAUAAAUUGUUGCACAGAUUAAAUUCAAAAAUGACUGAGAAUGAUGUGGACAACGAGCUGUUAGACUACGAGGAGGAUGAGGUGGAUGCGACAGGAGGUGUCGGGGACGGAGGGCUCGCUGGAGACGGCAGCACCGUGGCCUUGAGGAAAGAGGGACUCAAAGGAUCCUACGUUUCCAUCCACUCCUCAGGGUUCAGGGACUUCCUGUUAAAGCCUGAGCUCCUCAGGGCCAUUGUGGACUGCGGCUUCGAGCAUCCGUCUGAGGUUCAGCAUGAGUGCAUUCCACAAGCUAUCUUGGGCAUGGAUGUGUUGUGCCAGGCCAAGUCGGGUAUGGGGAAGACGGCGGUCUUUGUCUUGGCAACACUCCAGCAGCUGGAGCCAGUGACUGGACAGGUAUCAGUGCUGGUGAUGUGUCAUACCCGAGAGCUGGCAUUCCAGAUCAGCAAAGAGUAUGAACGCUUCUCCAAGUACAUGCCUGCUGUCAAGGUGGCGGUGUUCUUUGGCGGUUUGCCUAUAAAGAAGGAUGAGGAGACGCUGAAGAGAGAGAGUCCUCACAUAGUGGUGGGAACACCCGGCCGCAUCCUGGCCCUUUCACGCAACAAAAGUCUCAACCUGCGCCACAUCAAACACUUCAUCCUGGACGAGUGUGACAAAAUGCUGGAACAGCUUGACAUGCGACGUGACGUUCAGGAGAUUUUCCGCAUGACCCCGCACGAGAAGCAGGUCAUGAUGUUCAGCGCCACUUUGAGCAAAGAAAUCCGGCCCGUCUGCCGAAAGUUCAUGCAAGAUCCCAUGGAGAUAUUUGUGGAUGACGAGACCAAGCUGACCCUGCACGGCCUGCAGCAGUACUACGUCAAGCUGAAAGACAACGAGAAGAACAGGAAACUGUUUGAUCUGCUGGACGUGCUGGAGUUCAACCAGGUGGUGAUCUUUGUGAAGUCAGUGCAGCGCUGCAUCGCUCUCGCUCAGCUGCUGGUGGAGCAGAACUUCCCCGCCAUCGCCAUCCACAGAGCAAUGCCUCAGGAGGAGAGGCUCGCUCGAUAUCAGCAGUUUAAAGACUUUCAGAGGCGCAUCCUCGUGGCCACUAACCUGUUUGGCAGAGGAAUGGACAUCGAAAGAGUCAACAUCGCUUUUAACUACGACAUGCCCGAGGAUUCAGACACGUACCUGCACAGGGUUGGUGGCCAGGGCGGGCAGGUUUGGCACAAAAGGUCUAGCCAUCACGUUUGUGUCAGAUGAAAGCGAUGCCCGAACGCUGAAUGACGUUCAGGACAGGUUUGAGGUGAACAUCAGUGAGCUUCCAGAGGAGAUCGACAUCUCGUCUUACAUUGAGCAGACGCGAUAAAGCAGAGAAGGAGAAGAGGUGGCGAGUUGUGUCGAGGACGCCUGGGAGAGCAGCACUCAGUAGCCUGCAUUUCACACAGACUGUUAGAGAAGUUUAGUGAGAAUGUAAACCUGACAAAAAAUAAAUAAAUCAGUAGAUCUAAUAAUCCAACACUUACACGGGUUCUUAAAUGCCUCUGAAGUUUCUCUGAUGCUUAAAUAUAUAUAUACAAAAAAAGCUUUGUUUAUUUUAAGAUAUAGAGCCAAGAUGUUAAAAUGUGUUUGUAAAGGAUUUUAUUUACCUUUUCAAAGGUUUCAUUUAUUUCCUGAUUGUGGUAGACUUUUUUUUUUUUAUCCGAGUGCAGUGGUUGUUUCGUUUUUGUUCGCGUGUUGGGUUGAGCUAUGUUAUUUUGAUCGUAAAUGAAGCAUCAGUGUAAAAUAGUCGAAUAGUAAGCUGUGCUAGUAGUUAUUAAUGAAGGCAUGAUGGAUAUGGAGUUAUAAAAGAGUGUUAAUGUGCCUGAUACACUAAUCUGUGUUCUGUGUUUAGUGCUUGUCAGAAAUAAUAACGCACUAUGUUUGUUUAUUUACAGCUACUUUUGUGUUAAUAAUCAAAAUGUGUGCAAUAUUGUAUUGAAUUAACAUUAGUAUUGAGAUGCUGUACAGUAAAGGUGCAUUAGGUACGAGUUUUCCUUUUUAUAUUUCAUAACUGGUUGCAGUUGCAAUCAUUAGACAUUGCAAACCUACAGCAAAGUAUUAACCUGUAAGAAUUCUAGCUUUUCUUUUCAACAGUUAAAAGAAAAAGAGAGCACUCAGUUUUUCCUACAUAAUGCACCUUUAGGACUUUUUGGUACUUCUCAUAGCGCUUACCAGUAUUCAGAAUUCAAAAUUGAAUUUCGUAAUUAAAUACAAAACACAAA